GGCUGUGGCUCAGUGGUAGAGUGCUUGUCCAGCACAUAUGAGGUGCUGGGUUUGAUCCUCAGCACCA
RNAcentral lists this transfer RNA (67 nucleotides) under Marmota monax (woodchuck). RNAcentral's name for it is "tRNA.Ala". Lineage: Eukaryota; Metazoa; Chordata; Mammalia; Rodentia; Sciuridae. The record is from RNAcentral.